AUACGGAGGAUCCGAGCGUUAUCCGGAUUUAUUGGGUUUAAAGGGUGCGCAGGCGGCCAUUUAAGUCAGCGGUUAAAUCGUGGGGCUCAACCCCAUUCUGCCGUUGAUACUGGGUGGCUUGAUUGCGGUCGAGGUUGGCGGAAUUCGUUGUGUAGCGGUGAAAUGCAUAGAUAUGACGAAGAACACCGAUUGCGUAGGCAGCUGACCAGACCGCAAAUGACGCUCAUGCACGAAAGUGCGGGGAUCGAACAGGAUUAGAUACCCUGGUAGGCCGCACAGUAAACGAUGAAUACUUGUUUUCGGCGAUAUAAUGUCGGAGGCAAAGCGAAAGCGAUAAGUAUUCCACCUGGGGAGUACGCCGGCAACGGUGAAACUCAAAUGAAUUGGCGGGG
RNAcentral lists this ribosomal RNA (392 nucleotides) under uncultured bacterium. Its description in RNAcentral is "partial 16S ribosomal RNA". It matches the Rfam family "Bacterial small subunit ribosomal RNA", at positions 523 to 918 of the family's 1533-position model. The record is from RNAcentral.